AGCUUUAUAGUCAAAAAUGAUGUCAAAUUGCAAGUUUGACGGUGGAAAUAUCCUAAGGCUU
Molecule: transfer RNA, 61 nt
Filed under: Hemisodorcus arrowi
Lineage: Eukaryota; Metazoa; Arthropoda; Insecta; Coleoptera; Lucanidae
Description: tRNA-Cys
Source: RNAcentral